Molecule: ribosomal RNA, 497 nt
Filed under: uncultured bacterium
Lineage: Bacteria
Description: partial 16S ribosomal RNA
Rfam family: Bacterial small subunit ribosomal RNA
Source: RNAcentral
GAUGAACGCUGGCGGCGUGCCUAAUACAUGCAAGUCGAGCGAACGGACGAGAAGUUUGCUUCCCUGAUGUUAGCGGCGGACGGGAGAGUAACACGUGGAUAACCUACCUAUACGACUGGGAUAAUUUCGGGAAACAGUAGCUACUACCGGAUAAUAUUUUGAACCGCAUGGUUCAAAAGUGAAAGACGGUCUUGCUGUCACUUAUAGAUGGAUCCGCGCUGCAUUAGCUAGUUGGUAAGGUAACGGCUUACCAAGGCAACGAUGCAUAGCCGACCUGAGAGGGUCGUCGGCCACACUGGAAGAGAGACACAGUCCAGACUCCUACGGUAGGCAGCAGUAGAGACUCUUACGCGAUGGACGAAAGCCUAACAGAGCAACGCCGCGUGAGUGAUGAAGGUCUACGGAUCGUAGAGCUCUGUUAGUAGGGAAGAACAAAUGUGUAAGUAACUGUGCACAUCUUGACGGUACCUAAUCAGAAAGCCACGGCUAACUACGUG